GAAGACUAAGGUGGCUUGCAUGCAUGCGCGAGAGCAAGGAUGGGUGGAGCCGAGUGGCGAAGUUGUAUCUGUCAAGGUGCAAUGGCCCAGCUUGAAGUCAUUCUCAUGUGGAGCUUGUCGGUUCUCUCUCACUCUCUCCUUCUUCCUCUCUUUUUUUUCAUCUUUCUUAUUUUUUUUCUUUUCUCUUUUUUCAUCUCUCUUCUCCUUUUUUGUCUCUCUCUUUUUUUUCCUUUUUUCUUUUCUUAGCAAGGCAGAACUAGCACCAUUAAACUAGGAUACAUCUUGGUAUGAGUAGAACAUGCAACGAGAUGCUCACUAACUCCCCCCCCC
RNAcentral lists this long non-coding RNA (330 nucleotides) under Setaria viridis. RNAcentral describes it as "long non-coding RNA (SVIR_LNC010494)". Lineage: Eukaryota; Viridiplantae; Streptophyta; Magnoliopsida; Poales; Poaceae. The record is from RNAcentral.